This 272-nucleotide ribosomal RNA is filed under the name uncultured bacterium. RNAcentral describes it as "partial 16S ribosomal RNA". It matches the Rfam family "Bacterial small subunit ribosomal RNA", at positions 1235 to 1500 of the family's 1533-position model. The record is from RNAcentral.
CGGGUAACAGAGUGAGGCGACCCCGCCGAGGGUGAGCGAAGCACAAAAAAAGACCGUCCCCAGUUCGGAUUGUAGUCUGCAACCCGACUACAUGAAGCUGGAAUCGCUAGUAAUCGCAGGUCAGCAUACUGCGGUGAAUACGUUCCCGGGUCUUGUACACACCGCCCGUCACACCAUGGGAGCCGGAAAUGCCCGAAGCCAGUGACCCAACCUUAGGGAGGGAGCUGUCGAAGGUGGAGCCGGUAACUGGGGUGAAGUCGUAACAAGGUACC